This 381-nucleotide ribosomal RNA is filed under the name uncultured marine Chaetocerotaceae. RNAcentral's name for it is "SSU rRNA". It matches the Rfam family "Eukaryotic small subunit ribosomal RNA", at positions 587 to 972 of the family's 1831-position model. The record is from RNAcentral. Lineage: Eukaryota; Bacillariophyta; Thalassiosirophyceae; Chaetocerotales; Chaetocerotaceae.
AGCUCCAAUAGCGUAUAUUAAAGUUGCUGCAGUUAAAAAGCUCGUAGUUGCAUUUCCGAGGCAAGGGAUUAGUCCGACCUUUGGUGGGUAUUUAAUCCUCUUGCCUCGUCCUUGAGUGGUGCUUCUUGGUAUUAAGUUAUCGAGGAGAUAGCCGCUCAUCGUUUACUGUGAGAAAAUUAGAGUGUUCAAAGCAGGCUUAUGCCGUUGAAUAUAUUAGCAUGGAAUAAUAAGAUAGGACCGCGGUACUAUUGUGGGGGUUUGAGAACCAAGGUAAUGAUGAAUAGGGACAGUUGGGGGUAUUCGUAUUCAGUUGUCAGAGGUGAAAUUCUUAGAUUUACGGAAGACGAACUACUGCGAAAGCAUUUACCAAGGAUGUUUUCA